This 427-nucleotide ribosomal RNA is filed under the name uncultured prokaryote. RNAcentral's name for it is "bacterial SSU rRNA". It matches the Rfam family "Bacterial small subunit ribosomal RNA", at positions 355 to 796 of the family's 1533-position model. The record is from RNAcentral.
UGGGGAAUUUUUUGCAAUGGGCGCAAGCCUGACGGAGCAAGACCGCGUGAGGGAGGAAGGCCCUUGGGUUGUAAACCUCUUUUCUCAGGGAAGAAGAAAGUGACGGUACCUGAGGAAUCAGCCUCGGCUAACUCCGUGCUAGCAGCCGCGGUAAUACGGAGGAGGCAAGCGUUAUCCGGAAUUAUUGGGCGUAAAGCGUCCGCAGGUGGUUUAUCAAGUCAGCUGUUAAAGCGUGGGGCUUAACUCCAUAAGGGCAGUUGAAACUGAUAGGCUAGAGUGCGAUAGGGGCAAGGGGAAUUCCCAGUGUAGCGGUGAAAUGCGUAGAUAUUGGGAAGAACACCGGUGGCGAAAGCGCCUUGCUGGGUCUGCACUGACACUGAGGGACGAAAGCUAGGGGAGCGAAAGGGACUAGAUACCCCCGUAGUCC